AAAGUAAAUCGGGCAAUCGCGUCACCAUGUCGCUCUCGAGCGACGUGGCGGGGAGGAAAGUCCGGACAUUCAUCCCGAGCAAUCGGGAAAAGGUAGCGGGUAACCCCCGUCUAGGGAAACCUACGAGGUGCGAGCAGAGACGCUUUGUUCUGUAAAGAACAAAGCGCCCUUCCGAAGCCAAUGGCGAAGGAGGGCGAACGUAGUCAUAAGCAAGGGCCAGCCUUCGCUCUUAGGAGCUACGGCAUGGUCUUCGCCGAAGGCUACGAUGAAACGGCAAAAUCCUUACCUGGAUGCAAGGUCGUGUCUUGUUCUACACUAGUAAGAGCAAGAAGAACCGCAAAGAUUUUAGCAGCAAUGCUAAAACAAGAUAAAUGAUUGUCACAAUUUUGUUUCGCCUCACCGGCGGAUUACAAUUUUGAUACAGAAUCCGGCUUAUAGAUUUACUUUGAUA
This 451-nucleotide RNase P RNA is filed under the name Candidatus Moraniibacteriota bacterium. RNAcentral's name for it is "RNase P RNA component class A". It matches the Rfam family "Bacterial RNase P class A". Rfam says of the family: Ribonuclease P (RNase P) is a ubiquitous endoribonuclease, found in archaea, bacteria and eukarya as well as chloroplasts and mitochondria. Lineage: Bacteria; Candidatus Moraniibacteriota. The record is from RNAcentral.